This is a long non-coding RNA of Triticum dicoccoides, 1392 nucleotides long. RefSeq lists it as uncharacterized. NCBI's taxonomy places the organism in Eukaryota, Viridiplantae, Streptophyta, Magnoliopsida, Poales, Poaceae. The transcript is spliced from 2 exons. The record is from RefSeq and is a predicted model, not a curated record.
CAUCCUCGUCUCUCCCCACCACAUAUUCUUCAGCAUAUCCUCGAUUCCCUUCCUAUCUUCUCUGCCCAGUGGUAGCGGUGCAAGCUCGAUCCAGACCCCUUCUCCUCCUUCGGACCGAGGCCACACACACCACUGAGCUCCUCCUCCUCCUCCCCCUUCCUCCGCACGCGCUCAACGCCAGGUCAUGCAGGGAGCGCACACGCAGGGGCCUUAGUGGCUGUUGUCGCCGCCACCACACCCGGGCGUUGUCGCGCCACCGCCACCUCCUCCUCCCUCCUAGUUCGUCGGCCGUUGGUGCCCGCCCCCCUGCAUCUGCCACCGCCACCCCCUCUCUGGCUCACCUCCAUGCGUGAGGGCAACGAUGGUAGCGCCCGACGUCCACCGUCCCAGGCCCGUCCCUCGCCGACGGGAGAGUGCCGGUCUGCGGAUUGUAACCUCCUAUUACCGAGGAACUUUUUUAUUCCUUGAAUCACUCUUCCCACUUGCUGGAUUAAUUUCUUUGCUCUAUUCUCUUCUCUGCUUAUUGACUUGUGAUGCAGCAAGGCUGCCGAUGUAUAAAAAUUGACAUAUUAGGUGUAAAAGAGCGAGGUGAGACUAAGGCGGGGCGGUGCAGGAGGCGGCCGGCGGAGCGGGACAGGAGGCCGCCGGUGGAGUGCGGCGAGAUAGGAGGCUGCCGGCGGAGCGAGGCGAGGCAGGGCAGGAGGCAGCCGCUGGAUUAAUUUCUUUGCUCUAUUCUCGUCUCUGCUUAUUGACUUGUGAUGCAGCAAGGCCGCCGAUGUAUAAAAAUUGACAUAUUAGGUGUAAAAGAGCAAGGUGAGACUGAGGCGGGGCGGUGCAGGAGGCGGCCGGCGGAGCGGGACAGGAGGCUGCCGGUGGAGCGCGGCGAGAUAGGAGGCUGUCGGCGGAGCGAGGCAAGGCAGGGCAGGAGGCGGCCGGCGAAGCACGGUGAGUCGGGGCGACGCAGGAGGCGCCUUUCGGAGCGCGGCGAGGCGGGACGGGAUAGGAGGCGGAUGGCGGAGCAGGAGGCGGGGGAGCAGGAGGCGGGGCAGAGCGCGGAGAGGCAGAGGCGCGACUGUUUUUUUCCUUCGUACCGGUUCGGGCUGACUUAUCACGAGGACUGCGGGUUGAAUAACUACAACAGCAGGGACUUUUUUGCGAAAACGCCGACGACGUACAACAGAAACCUAAUUUGCUUUAUUAUUAGGUAAAGAUUUUUGUGGAUAGUAAUAUCGAAAUAAUAGGUUAGGAAUUAGGUCUGCUCCCACAAGCCAACCUGGCGCCUCCCCCUAGGGCGCGCCCCCCCGGGCUUGUGGGGCCCACCGCCCACUUCUGGCUCCCUCUUGAAGCUUCUAGUGUUACAUAUACUCCAUAAAAAAUCAUCGUAAGUUUUCA